CUGCUGCCUUCCGUAGGAGUUUGGGCCGUGUCUCAGUCCCAAUGUGGCCGUUCACCCUCUCAGGCCGGCUACUGAUCGUCGCCUUGGUGGGCCGUUACCCCUCCAACCAGCUAAUCAGACGCGGGUCCAUCCUGUACCACCGGAGUUUUUCACACUGUACCAUGCGGUACUGUGCGCUUAUGCGGUUUUAGCACCUAUUUCUAAGUGUUAUCCCCCUGUACAGGGCAGGUUACCCACGCGUUACUCACCCGUCCGCCACUAAGAUAAACAGG
Molecule: ribosomal RNA, 272 nt
Filed under: uncultured bacterium
Lineage: Bacteria
Description: partial 16S ribosomal RNA
Source: RNAcentral